AUUCAUUUCCAAUAGCUCCACUGGUAUUCUUUGGAUGUAUCAGAUGCAACAUGUAUUAUGAUUUCAGGGCAAUUGUCAAAAAGAAGAUGUCAUUGAUGCACUCCACAAAGAGAGUGUGUUUCAACAGUUGGGAGAUGGAGGUGCGGGACAAGCUUCUUGAAGAGUCUGUUGUCACUGGUGAAGGAAGCUCAAGUAGGAGAGACGAAUCUGUCAGGCAAAAGAGAGCUGAUCCCUGAAAAUACUCUGCAGGGCGAUUAUCAGCCCCAAGCACGUCUCAGCCUAGUUCUGAUCCCCGAAAAUACUCUGCAGGGCGAUCAUCAGCCCCUAGCACGUCUCAGCCAAGUUCUG
This is a long non-coding RNA of Bombina bombina (fire-bellied toad), 348 nucleotides long. RefSeq lists it as uncharacterized. The record is from RefSeq and is a predicted model, not a curated record. Lineage: Eukaryota; Metazoa; Chordata; Amphibia; Anura; Bombinatoridae. The transcript has 4 exons.